This 497-nucleotide ribosomal RNA is filed under the name uncultured bacterium. RNAcentral's name for it is "partial 16S ribosomal RNA". It matches the Rfam family "Bacterial small subunit ribosomal RNA", at positions 28 to 507 of the family's 1533-position model. The record is from RNAcentral.
GAUGAACGCUGGCGGCGUGCCUAAUACAUGCAAGUCGAGCGAACAGACCAGGAGCUUGCUCCUCUGACGUUAGCGGCGGACGGGUGAGUAACACGUGGAUAACCUACCUAUAAGACUGGGAUAACUUCGGGAAACCGGAGCUAAUACCGGAUAAUAUAUUGAACCGCAUGGUUCAAUAGUGAAAGACGGUUUUGCUGUCACUUAUAGAUGGAUCCGCGCCGCAUUAGCUAGUUGGUAAGGUAACGGCUUACCAAGGCAACGAUGCGUAGCCGACCUGAGAGGGUGAUCGGCCACACUGGAACUGAGACACGGUCCAGACUCCUACGGGAGGCAGCAGUAGGGAAUCUUCCGCAAAGGGCGAAAGCAUGACGGAGCAACGCCGCGUGAGUGAUGAAGGUCUUCGGAUCGUAAAACUCUGUUAUGAGGGAAGAACAAAUGUGUAAGUAACUAUGCACGUCUUGACGGUACCUAAUCAGAAAGCCACGGCUAACUACGUG